CACACUUUCACAACAUCAAAACUUUUUAUCAAGGGCUUGUUCCCAUGCAUAAUUUAAUGAAAAGCCAAGUAAAAUCACUUAAAUGCUUCAUUCCAACACAUAUGUAUUUCCCAAAAAACACUUUGAUGCAAGUUCACUCAUCGAUAUUUGUUGAAUCUUUAAUUGACUCUAACUUCGAUUAUUGCUUUUAACGGACAUGUGAGGCCUCGCUGGAACCUCGGUGGACUUAUAGUUGAACUCAUUUUCAAGAGUUUUCAAGCUACUAUGGCAAGUCUCUCUACCUCUCUCUAAAACUUCCAACUAGUGAGAGAAAGUGCUGAACAAAGACUUUUGAGGGUUUUAAGGUGGGAGAGUGAAAGAGCACAAAAGGUUUUAUGAAAAAGUGCUUAAAAGCAUGAAAAUUGAAGCUAGAAAGAGAAAGUUAUGGAAACUUUAAGGGAGACUUCCAUGGAAGAUGAAGAAACGUGAGGUGGGAGGAAGAAGAACAACAAGCUGCUGGAAAAAUGAGGAAGCUACUGGAGAAAUGAGAUAUUUAUAGCCUAAGCUUAUCCAAAC
Molecule: long non-coding RNA, 555 nt
Filed under: Theobroma cacao (cacao)
Lineage: Eukaryota; Viridiplantae; Streptophyta; Magnoliopsida; Malvales; Malvaceae
Description: long non-coding RNA (TCAC_LNC002369)
Source: RNAcentral